This 119-nucleotide ribosomal RNA is filed under the name uncultured bacterium. RNAcentral describes it as "partial 16S ribosomal RNA". It matches the Rfam family "Bacterial small subunit ribosomal RNA", at positions 1365 to 1482 of the family's 1533-position model. The record is from RNAcentral.
AAUACGUUCCCGGGCUUGUACACACCGCCCGUCACACCACGAAAGUCGGCAACACCCGAAGCCGGUGGCCUAACCCUUUUGGGAGGGAGCCGUCGAAGGUGGGGUCGGUGAUUGGGGUG